GGAGAGAUAGAGUGAAAUGGGUGGUAGGUGUAGGAGGGAAAGCCAGGGUGGGGUGGGGUGGGUCGGGUCUUGUCUUCUCAAGAAGUGGGCUAGAUACUCCAGGACACAGCCCUGAGGUUGCUGCCUUGGAGAGGAAGUUAGGAACAUGCUAGAAGCUCCUGAGCUGGGUGGAAAUUUGAAAUUUCAACAGUGUGGAACAUUUAACUCCUCCCUUCAUUUGAAACAAGCAAAGAAAGAUCCUCUGAAACCAUGACUGUGACCCAAAAGAUGAUACACAGUAAUGCUAUUAGAAUUUACAAUUCUGGGAAAGUAGGAUAAUUCAGUACAAUACAUAUUUGGAGCUACAUUUGCCUAGAAAACCAUUUGUUUGCUAGCUGUGACACAGAUGCAACGGAAAUGGAGUGAGCCAUGAAGCUGCAAAAGAAAAAAAAAACUCGCAUCAGGGUAAACAGAUUCAGAAUCCUAAUUCUACAAAGCUCCCAAUGAUAUCAGCUGGAACUGAGGGCUCCUGGCAUUUCAGUAAGUGAAAGGGUAGGCUCUGGAUUUGCAUAAAGCCAAGCAUUCAUGUGGGAAGGUGCCUCAAAAACCAAUGCAUAAAAACAAGCACUUGUGAAAGGAAAACACUCAUGGAAUUAAUGGCACAUUAACGUACCUUCCAAAAAUUAUUCCAGAUAUGGCAGCAAAUAAUAGAGCCAGACUCUUUCCAGAAAAUGUCAAGAAAAUAAUGAAGAACCAAAAGAGCCUGAAAAUGAACUAAGCCUAGAAUUCAUCUCAAAUGUAGAUGACGAUUGAAACAAGGAUAAUAACAUAAUAGGAGGCAGAAGUGCACAAUAUAUACAGGGGCAAAGUCAUUUAAGAUUAUUUGUGAUCUAAGUACAAGAGAGACAAGGAUGGCAAUCAUAGUUGUAGUAGUGAUAACACACAGAGAAUGUGCUGAAUUACUACAGGAAAUUGGGACUUAUUUUCCUUUGCAUGCAGGCGGUGUGAGUGCAUCUUUCUUUAGUGUCCUCUCCAAAAUGAGAGUUAUCUCCAACUAGAAUUUGAUGCAAAACAAUAUGAAGCUCAGUGUCUAAGCACAGGCUGCUACCCAAGUAGAGAGGAGAGCAGAUUUGACAUUUCCAGCAGAGAGAUGUCAGUGCUGGGCAGUUUGAGAGUCAUCUCAACCUUUUCUGGAGUUCCUGGGACUGUCUUUCAAUGUUCAGGAGUUUGAAUCAAUCCCAUUCUUAGGAAGUGGGGACUGUGAAGCCUCUAAAGAAAAAUGACCAAGGUGGAAUUGUCUCUUGCUCUUUUCUUUGAAUUCAUCAGAGUGAAAUUUUAUAAUGGUAUUUCCAGAGCCAUCUGGUUCUUCCUUCUUACACAGAAGAGCAGUGCCAUCUGCUGAAAAGAGAUGUGUAUGUAAUAAUGACUUGUGACUCCAGAGACCAAACACUCAGGGCCUGAUUCUCCACAGCCUUACACCUUGUACAAUAGUGAGGGUGAAACACUACCGAAUCAGAGUGGUAGCACUUUACACCUCCACAAAGUGAGUGUAAGGGACAACCCAAGGUACAGAGAAUUACACCCUAGAUUAUUGUCCUGUGAACAACAAGAUCCCCACCCCCACCUCAGUGAUCACCUUCAGAAGAGGAUAUAUGUGCAGCUCA
Long non-coding RNA from Dermochelys coriacea (leatherback sea turtle), 1643 nucleotides. RefSeq lists it as uncharacterized. NCBI's taxonomy places the organism in Eukaryota, Metazoa, Chordata, Testudines, Dermochelyidae. The transcript has 2 exons. The record is from RefSeq and is a predicted model, not a curated record.